This 279-nucleotide ribosomal RNA is filed under the name uncultured bacterium. RNAcentral's name for it is "partial 16S ribosomal RNA". It matches the Rfam family "Bacterial small subunit ribosomal RNA", at positions 75 to 353 of the family's 1533-position model. The record is from RNAcentral.
CUUGCUUUCUUUGCUGGCGACCGGCGCACGGGUGAGUAACACGUAUCCAACCUGCCCUUUACUCGGGGAUAGCCUUUCGAAAGAAAGAUUAAUACCCGAUGGCAUAAUGAUUCCGCAUGGUUUCAUUAUUAAAGGAUUCCGGUAAAGGAUGGGGAUGCGUUCCAUUAGGUUGUUGGUGAGGUAACGGCUCACCAAGCCUUCGAUGGAUAGGGGUUCUGAGAGGAAGGUCCCCCACAUUGGAACUGAGACACGGUCCAAACUCCUACGGGAGGCAGCAUG